RNAcentral lists this ribosomal RNA (223 nucleotides) under Gammaproteobacteria bacterium. RNAcentral describes it as "partial 23S ribosomal RNA". It matches the Rfam family "Bacterial large subunit ribosomal RNA", at positions 2723 to 2925 of the family's 2925-position model. Lineage: Bacteria; Pseudomonadati; Pseudomonadota; Gammaproteobacteria. The record is from RNAcentral.
GUCACGCCAGUGGCAUUGCCGGGUAGCUACGUUCGGACAGGAUAACCGCUGAAAGCAUCUAAGCGGGAAGCCUCUCCCAAGAUUAAUUCUCACUAGAGCUUUAAGCUCUCUAAAGAUCCGUCGAAGACUACGACGUUGAUAGGCCAGGUGUGGAAGCACAGUAAUGUGUGUAGCUAACUGGUACUAAUUGAUCGUGAGGCUUGACCAUAUAACACCCAAACAG